CCUACGGGAGGCAGCAGUGGGGAAUAUUGGACAAUGGGCGCAAGCCUGACCCAGCAACGCCGCGUGAAGGAAGAAGGCUUUCGGGUUGUAAACUUCUUUUAAGAGGGAAGAGCAGAAGACGGUACCUCUUAAAUAAGCCACGGCUAACUACGUGCGAGCACGCGUGGUAAUAAGUAGGUGGCAAGCGUUGUCCGGCUUUACUGGGUGUAAAGGGCGGGUAGCCGGGCUGAUAAGUCAGUUGUGAAAUUCCGGGGCUGAACCCCGGACCUGCAUUUGAAACUGUUGGUCUUGAGUAUCGGAGAGGCAGGCGGAAUUCCUAGUGUAGCGGUGAAAUGCGUAGAUAUAUGGAAGAACACCAGUGGCGAAGGCGGCUGUCUGGUCUGCAACUGACGCUGAGGCUCGAAAGCAUGGGUAGCGAACAGGAUUAGAUACCCUAGUAGUC
Molecule: ribosomal RNA, 442 nt
Filed under: uncultured bacterium
Lineage: Bacteria
Description: partial 16S ribosomal RNA
Rfam family: Bacterial small subunit ribosomal RNA
Source: RNAcentral